GAUGAACGCUGGCGGCGUGCCUAAUACAUGCAAGUCGAGCGAACGGACGAGAAGCUUGCUUCUCUGAUGUUAGCGGCGGACGGGUGAGUAACACGUGGAUAACCUACCUAUAAGACUGGGAUAACUUCAGGAAACCGGAGCUAAUACCGGAUAAUAUUUUGAACCGCAUGGUUCAAAAGUGAAAGACGGUCUUGCUGUCACUUAUAGAUGGAUCCGCGCUGCAUUAGCUAGUUGGUAAGGUAACGGCUUACCAAGGCAACGAUGCAUAGCCGACCUGAGAGGGUGAUCGGCCACACUGGAACUGAGACACGGUCCAGACUCCUACGGGAGGCAGCAGUAGGGAAUCUUCCGCAAUGGGCGAAAGCCUGACGGAGCAACGCCGCGUGAGUGAUGAAGGUCUUCGGAUCGUAAAACUCUGUUAUUAGGGAAGAACAUAUGUGUAAGUAACUGUGCACAUCUUGACGGUACCUAAUCAGAAAGCCACGGUUAACUACGUGCCAGCAGCCGCGGUAAUACGUAGGUGGCAAGCGUUAUCCGGAAUUAUUGGGCGUAAAGCGCGCGUAGGCGGUUUUUUAAGUCUGAUGUGAAAGCCCACGGCUCAACCGUGGAGGGUCAUUGGAAACUGGAAAACUUGAGUGCAGAAGAGGAAAGUGGAAUUCCAUGUGUAGCGGUGAAAUGCGCAGAGAUAUGGAGGAACACCAGUGGCGAAGGCGACUUUCUGGUCUGUAACUGACGCUGAUGUGCGAAAGCGUGGGGAUCAAACAGGAUUAGAUACCCUGGUAGUCCACGCCGUAAACGAUGAGUGCUAAGUGUUAGGGGGUUUCCGCCCCUUAGUGCUGCAGCUAACGCAUUAAGCACUCCGCCUGGGGAGUACGACCGCAAGGUUGAAACUCAAAGGAAUUGACGGGGACCCGCACAAGCGGUGGAGCAUGUGGUUUAAUUCGAAGCAACGCGAAGAACCUUACCAAAUCUUGACAUCCUUUGACAACUCUAGAGAUAGAGCCUUCCCCUUCGGGGGACAAAGUGACAGGUGGUGCAUGGUUGUCGUCAGCUCGUGUCGUGAGAUGUUGGGUUAAGUCCCGCAACGAGCGCAACCCUUAAGCUUAGUUGCCAUCAUUAAGUUGGGCACUCUAAGUUGACUGCCGGUGACAAACCGGAGGAAGGUGGGGAUGACGUCAAAUCAUCAUGCCCCUUAUGAUUUGGGCUACACACGUGCUACAAUGGACAAUACAAAGGGCAGCGAAACCGCGAGGUCAAGCAAAUCCCAUAAAGUUGUUCUCAGUUCGGAUUGUAGUCUGCAACUCGACUACAUGAAGCUGGAAUCGCUAGUAAUCGUAGAUCAGCAUGCUACGGUGAAUACGUUCCCGGGUCU
Molecule: ribosomal RNA, 1372 nt
Filed under: uncultured bacterium
Lineage: Bacteria
Description: bacterial SSU rRNA
Rfam family: Bacterial small subunit ribosomal RNA
Source: RNAcentral